RNAcentral lists this ribosomal RNA (432 nucleotides) under Triticum aestivum (bread wheat). Its description in RNAcentral is "partial small subunit ribosomal RNA". Lineage: Eukaryota; Viridiplantae; Streptophyta; Magnoliopsida; Poales; Poaceae. The record is from RNAcentral.
AUGCCAACAAGAUAUUUCCGUGAUAUAGACGUGUUUUUCGUGCCGAUGUAUCGUGCUAUACAGGCCAGCUUGUGUGUCAACCUUGAUCUCACAUCUGGCAGUGGCUGUAGCUAUGCAUAUGGCGAAAUCACAGCGCACCAUGAGUUCUACGGCGACUUCAACGUCCUGCUUUUUCAGUGUGGAGAAGAUGAUAUGGCAGAGGUUGUUGAUGGCAGACUUCCAUUGUUGCGGACUUGGGCAGCUGUUCCGAUAUACUUAGAGCCGCUCUUGAUAAUCAAGCUGAACCUUAGUGUUUUUACUAAUUCUGACCAUGUUAAUGACGGUCAUGCCAUCUCCUUCCAAGGUGAUCUUACCUUCUACCAUGACCAGUAUGAAAAGACAAUCUGCAAUGCUGACCAUGGUACAGUUGAAGUGCAGAUUGGGUACCGUUAA